This 497-nucleotide ribosomal RNA is filed under the name uncultured bacterium. RNAcentral describes it as "partial 16S ribosomal RNA". It matches the Rfam family "Bacterial small subunit ribosomal RNA", at positions 28 to 507 of the family's 1533-position model. The record is from RNAcentral.
GACGAACGCUGGCGGCGUGCCUAAUACAUGCAAGUUGAGCGCUGAAGGUUGGUACUUGUACCAACUGGAUGAGCAGCGAACGGGUGAGUAACGCGUGGGGAAUCUGCCUUUGAGCGGGGGACAACAUUUGGAAACGAAUGCUAAUACCGCAUAAAAACUUUAAACACAAGUUUUAAGUUUGAAAGAUGCAAUUGCAUCACUCAAAGAUGAUCCCGCGUUGUAUUAGCUAGUUGGUGAGGUAAAGGCUCACCAAGGCGAUGAUACAUAGCCGACCUGAGAGGGUGAUCGGCCACAUUGGGAAUGAGACACGGCCCAAACUCCUACGGGAGGCAGCAGUAGGGAAUCUUCGGCAAUGGACGAAAGUCUGACCGAGCAACGCCGCGUGAGUGAAGAAGGUUUUCGGAUCGUAAAACUCUGUUGGUAGAGAAGAACGUUGGUGAGAGUGGAAAGCUCAUCAAGUGACGGUAACUACUCAGAAAGGGACGGCUAACUACGUG